This 888-nucleotide ribosomal RNA is filed under the name Cadophora orientoamericana. RNAcentral's name for it is "SSU rRNA". It matches the Rfam family "Eukaryotic small subunit ribosomal RNA", at positions 168 to 1064 of the family's 1831-position model. The record is from RNAcentral. Lineage: Eukaryota; Fungi; Ascomycota; Leotiomycetes; Helotiales; Ploettnerulaceae.
UACAUGCUAAAAACCUCGACUUCGGAAGGGGUGUAUUUAUUAGAUAAAAAACCAAUGCCCUUCGGGGCUCCCUGGUGAUUCAUAAUAACUUAACGAAUCGCAUGGCCUUGUGCCGGCGAUGGUUCAUUCAAAUUUCUGCCCUAUCAACUUUCGAUGGUAGGAUAGUGGCCUACCAUGGUUUCAACGGGUAACGGGGAAUUAGGGUUCUAUUCCGGAGAGGGAGCCUGAGAAACGGCUGCCACAUCCAAGGAAGGCAGCAGGCGCGCAAAUUACCCAAUCCCGACACGGGGAGGUAGUGACAAUAAAUACUGAUACAGGGCUCUUUUGGGUCUUGUAAUUGGAAUGAGUACAAUUUAAAUCCCUUAACGAGGAACAAUUGGAGGGCAAGUCUGGUGCCAGCAGCCGCGGUAAUUCCAGCUCCAAUAGCGUAUAUUAAAGUUGUUGCAGUUAAAAAGCUCGUAGUUGAACCUUGAGCCUGGCUGGCCGGUCCGCCUCACCGCGUGCACUGGUCCGGCCGGGUUUUUCCUUCUGGGGAGCCGCAUGCCCUUCACUGGGUGUGUCGGGGAACCAGGACUUUUACUUUGAAAAAAUUAGAGUGUUCAAAGCAGGCCUAUGCUCGAAUACAUUAGCAUGGAAUAAUAGAAUAGGACGUGUGGUUCUAUUUUGUUGGUUUCUAGGACCGCCGUAAUGAUUAAUAGGGAUAGUCGGGGGCAUCAGUAUUCAAUUGUCAGAGGUGAAAUUCUUGGAUUUAUUGAAGACUAACUACUGCGAAAGCAUUUGCCAAGGAUGUUUUCAUUAAUCAGUGAACGAAAGUUAGGGGAUCGAAGACGAUCAGAUACCGUCGUAGUCUUAACCAUAAACUAUGCCGACUAGGGAUCGGGCGAUGUU